AGCAGCCGCGGUAAUUCCAGCUCCAAUAGCGUAUAUUAAAGUUGUUGCAGUUAAAAAGCUCGUAGUUGAACUUCGGGAUCAAUGUUUCGGUCAUGCCGUUGGUAUGUACUGAUAUUAUUGGUUUCUCACCUUCUAAAGAACCGUAAUGCCAUUAAUUUGGUGUCACGGGGAAUUAGGACUGUUACCUUGAAAAAUUAGAGUGUUUAAAGCAGGCUCACGCUUGAAUACAUUAGCAUGGAAUAAUGAAAUAGGACAUCCGAUUCUAUUUUGUUGGUUUCUAGGAUCGAUGUAAUGAUUAAUAGGGAUAGUUGGGGGUAUUAGUAUUCAAUUGUCGGAGGUGAAAUUCUUGGAUUUAUUGAAGACUAACUACUGCGAAAGCAUUUGCCAAGGAUGUUUUCAUUAAUCAAGAACGAAAGUUAGGGGAUCGAAGACGAUCAGAUACCGUCGUAGUCUUAACCAUAAACUAUGCCGACUAGGGAUCGGAUGAUGUUAAUUUUUUAAUGACUCAUUCGGCGCCUUAC
Molecule: ribosomal RNA, 521 nt
Filed under: uncultured Glomus
Lineage: Eukaryota; Fungi; Glomeromycota; Glomeromycetes; Glomerales; Glomeraceae
Description: SSU rRNA
Rfam family: Eukaryotic small subunit ribosomal RNA
Source: RNAcentral